CAACCUGCCUACCUCACAAUCACAUCAGAGCACUACAAGCAACUGCUGCCAUGAGCAAGAUCCCAGCCCACAAGGAAAGGUCUGCCCUAUAGAUCAUCCUGUACCAGAGAUCUACAGCAUAAUGGCCUGGAAGCAGUCUUUGUUUUGGAGCCAAGCCCAGCAAAGUCUCAAUUCCUUCCCCUUCAAUCGCCAUCUGGAUGAACAAGGCCAAGUCAUUGACCUUCUCUGGGCCUCAGUUUCCUCACCCAUAAACUGGAGCAAAGUCAUCUCCAAGACAGCAGGAACCAUGUUUACUCUUUAAUCAUUGUAUGCUCCCUAAAUAUUUGCUGAACAAGUGAACAAAAAACCUGGUGGUGGUGAAAUUAGACUCCUUCUUGGUGUCACCAGGAGGUCCAGUUAAACAUACCAAGACUUGAGGAAUUAUGUCCAAGGUUCCAGCAUUGAACAUGAAGAACGCAGGAUUUAUUGGCACGUCGUGAUAACCGUAAAGCCCACGCUUCUACUGCAGUGUUGAGUUUGCGUGCCCUUGGGACAGAAGACAGAAUAGAGGCUGAGAAAAUUGCUUGUUGGAAGAAUGAAUCCUGGGUCUGCUAUUACAAGAAACUUCUCAACUUCUAGCCUUAUCUCUCACCACUCCUUCCUUAGAUCCUAAGAUUCAACCAUCCCUGACAUCAACACACCAUGUCCUGUGCUUUGUGCCACCUGUUUACCUUUGUACAUGGCAUUCCCACGUGGUAGAAUCUCGCUCCCAUACAAUCUGUUAUACUUGGAACCCCCUUCCUUUAUUCUCAAAACGUAAUUCCCUUUGAGAAAGUUUCUCUGACGUUUUCCUGACAAUGAACCAAUCCUUCCUCCAUGCAACCAUUCUUUUGUUUGUCUCCAGGUUUGAGAGAGAAAAAAAAAUAUGUAUCUACAUGAGUAAGCUAAGAUUCAGUUUCCAAAAUCCUCAACCAAGCACACACAAGGCUUAAGUCAUUUUCAUGAAACAGAGA
RNAcentral lists this long non-coding RNA (992 nucleotides) under Homo sapiens (human). RNAcentral's name for it is "uncharacterized LOC105375341, transcript variant 2 (LOC105375341)". Lineage: Eukaryota; Metazoa; Chordata; Mammalia; Primates; Hominidae. The record is from RNAcentral.